GAGUUCGCGGGAGAGUAAGUUAUUGCCCGGGUUUUUAUUUUGUACUUUAAACCCUAAAUUUAUUUUUUAUAUUUUUUUAAUGUUCAUGUUUUUGAAUGUUUUAUUCAAAUAAUGUAAAAAAUAAAAUAGAUAUUGACAUGGAUUGAACAAAAGAUAUAUAUUAUUUUAUGUUGCAUAAACAAAUUGGCAAAAUAGAGAUGGAAGAUAAAAAUAUGGUCAAAGUAAUAAGAGUCUAUGGGGAAUGCC
This 246-nucleotide unclassified non-coding RNA is filed under the name Borreliella valaisiana. RNAcentral's name for it is "partial 5S-23S ribosomal RNA intergenic spacer". Lineage: Bacteria; Pseudomonadati; Spirochaetota; Spirochaetia; Spirochaetales; Borreliaceae. The record is from RNAcentral.